AGUGGCGAACUGGUGAGUAACACGUGGGUAACCUGCCCCGAAGCGGGGGAUAACAUUUGGAAACAAGUGCUAAUACCGCAUAAUUAGUUGGAACCGCAUGGUUCCAACUUGAAAGAUGGCUCUGCUAUCACUUUGGGAUGGACCCGCGCCGUAUUAGUUAGUUGGUGAGAUAAAAGCCCACCAAGACGAUGAUACGUAGCCGACCUGAGAGGGUAAUCGGCCACAUUGGGACUGAGACACGGCCCAGACUCCUACGGGAGGCAGCAGUAGGGAAUCUUCCACAAUGGACGAAAGUCUGAUGGAGCAACGCCGCGUGAGUGAUGAAGGUUUUCGGAUCGUAAAACUCUGUUGUUAAAGAAGAACAAGUGUUAGAGUAACUGUUAACACUUUGACGGUAUUUAACCAGAAAGCCACGGCUAACUACGUGCCAGCAGCCGCGGUAAUACGUAGGUGGCAAGCGUUGUCCGGAUUUAUUGGGCGUAAAGCGAGCGCAGGCGGUUUUGUAAGUCUGCUGUGAAAGCCCUCAGCUCAACUGAGGAAGUGCAGUGGAAACUACAAAACUUGAGUACAGAAGAGGAAAGUGGAACUCCAUGUGUAGCGGUGAAAUGCGUAGAUAUAUGGAAGAACACCAGUGGCGAAGGCGGCUUUCUGGUCUGUUACUGACGCUGAGGCUCGAAAGCAUGGGUAGCGAACAGGAUUAGAUACCCUGGUAGUCCAUGCCGUAAACGAUGAAUACUAGGUGUUGGAGGGUUUCCGCCCUUCAGUGCCGCAGCUAACGCAUUAAGUAUUCCGCCUGGGGAGUACGACCGCAAGGUUGAAACUCAAAGGAAUUGACGGGGGCCCGCACAAGUGGUGGAGCAUGUGGUUUAAUUCGAUGCUACGCGAAGAACCUUACCAGCUCUUGACAUCUUCUGCCAACCCAAGAGAUUGGGCGUUCCCUUCGGGGACAGAAUGACAGGUGGUGCAUGGUUGUCGUCAGCUCGUGUCGUGAGAUGUUGGGUUAAGUCCCGCAACGAGCGCAACCCUUAUUAUUAGUUGCCAGCAUUUAGUUGGGCACUCUAGUGAGACUGCCGGUGAUAAACCGGAGGAAGGUGGGGACGACGUCAAAUCAUCAUGCCCCUUAUGAGCUGGGCUACACACGUGCUACAAUGGAUGGUACAACGAGUCGCGAAACCGCGAGGUCAAGCUAAUCUCUUAAAGCCAUUCUCAGUUCGGAUUGCAGGCUGCAACUCGCCUGCAUGAAGUUGGAAUCACUAGUAAUCGUGGAUCAGCAUGCCACGGUGAAUACGUUCCCGGGCCUUGUACACACCGCCCGUCACACCAUGAGAG
RNAcentral lists this ribosomal RNA (1329 nucleotides) under Acinetobacter sp. B8_4BCO2. RNAcentral's name for it is "bacterial SSU rRNA". It matches the Rfam family "Bacterial small subunit ribosomal RNA", at positions 94 to 1410 of the family's 1533-position model. Lineage: Bacteria; Pseudomonadati; Pseudomonadota; Gammaproteobacteria; Moraxellales; Moraxellaceae. The record is from RNAcentral.